This 1382-nucleotide ribosomal RNA is filed under the name Staphylococcus argenteus. RNAcentral's name for it is "bacterial SSU rRNA". It matches the Rfam family "Bacterial small subunit ribosomal RNA", at positions 63 to 1430 of the family's 1533-position model. The record is from RNAcentral. Lineage: Bacteria; Bacillati; Bacillota; Bacilli; Caryophanales; Staphylococcaceae.
CGAACGGACGAGAAGCUUGCUUCUCUGAUGUUAGCGGCGGACGGGUGAGUAACACGUGGAUAACCUACCUAUAAGACUGGGAUAACUUCGGGAAACCGGAGCUAAUACCGGAUAAUAUUUUGAACCGCAUGGUUCAAAAGUGAAAGACGGUCUUGCUGUCACUUAUAGAUGGAUCCGCGCUGCAUUAGCUAGUUGGUAAGGUAACGGCUUACCAAGGCAACGAUGCAUAGCCGACCUGAGAGGGUGAUCGGCCACACUGGAACUGAGACACGGUCCAGACUCCUACGGGAGGCAGCAGUAGGGAAUCUUCCGCAAUGGGCGAAAGCCUGACGGAGCAACGCCGCGUGAGUGAUGAAGGUCUUCGGAUCGUAAAACUCUGUUAUUAGGGAAGAACAUAUGUGUAAGUAACUGUGCACAUCUUGACGGUACCUAAUCAGAAAGCCACGGCUAACUACGUGCCAGCAGCCGCGGUAAUACGUAGGUGGCAAGCGUUAUCCGGAAUUAUUGGGCGUAAAGCGCGCGUAGGCGGUUUUUUAAGUCUGAUGUGAAAGCCCACGGCUCAACCGUGGAGGGUCAUUGGAAACUGGAAAACUUGAGUGCAGAAGAGGAAAGUGGAAUUCCAUGUGUAGCGGUGAAAUGCGCAGAGAUAUGGAGGAACACCAGUGGCGAAGGCGACUUUCUGGUCUGUAACUGACGCUGAUGUGCGAAAGCGUGGGGAUCAAACAGGAUUAGAUACCCUGGUAGUCCACGCCGUAAACGAUGAGUGCUAAGUGUUAGGGGGUUUCCGCCCCUUAGUGCUGCAGCUAACGCAUUAAGCACUCCGCCUGGGGAGUACGACCGCAAGGUUGAAACUCAAAGGAAUUGACGGGGACCCGCACAAGCGGUGGAGCAUGUGGUUUAAUUCGAAGCAACGCGAAGAACCUUACCAAAUCUUGACAUCCUUUGACAACUCUAGAGAUAGAGCUUUCCCCUUCGGGGGACAAAGUGACAGGUGGUGCAUGGUUGUCGUCAGCUCGUGUCGUGAGAUGUUGGGUUAAGUCCCGCAACGAGCGCAACCCUUAAGCUUAGUUGCCAUCAUUAAGUUGGGCACUCUAAGUUGACUGCCGGUGACAAACCGGAGGAAGGUGGGGAUGACGUCAAAUCAUCAUGCCCCUUAUGAUUUGGGCUACACACGUGCUACAAUGGACAAUACAAAGGGCAGCGAAACCGCGAGGUCAAGCAAAUCCCAUAAAGUUGUUCUCAGUUCGGAUUGUAGUCUGCAACUCGACUACAUGAAGCUGGAAUCGCUAGUAAUCGUAGAUCAGCAUGCUACGGUGAAUACGUUCCCGGGUCUUGUACACACCGCCCGUCACACCACGAGAGUUUGUAACACCCGAAGCCGG